This 253-nucleotide ribosomal RNA is filed under the name uncultured bacterium. RNAcentral describes it as "partial 16S ribosomal RNA". It matches the Rfam family "Bacterial small subunit ribosomal RNA", at positions 524 to 776 of the family's 1533-position model. The record is from RNAcentral.
UACGUAGGUGACAAGCGUUGUCCGGAUUUACUGGGCGUAAAGAGCGCGCAGGCGGUCGUUCAAGUCGAGUGUGAAAGCCCCCGGCUCAACUGGGGAGGGUCACUCGAUACUGAUCGACUCGAAGGCAGGAGAGGGAAGUGGAAUUCCCGGUGUAGUGGUGAAAUGCGUAGAUAUCGGGAGGAACACCAGUGGCGAAGGCGACUUCCUGGCCUGUUCUUGACGCUGAGACGCGAAAGCGUGGGGAGCAAACAGG